AUUGAACGCUGGCGGCAUGCUUUACACAUGCAAGUCGAACGGCAGCGCGGGCUUCGGCCUGGCGGCGGGUGGCGAACGGGUGAGUAAUACAUCGGAACGUGCCCAAACGUGGGGGAUAGCUCGGCGAAAGCCGGAUUAAUACCGCAUACGACCUGAGGGUGAAAGCGGGGGAUCUUCGGACCUCGCGCCAUUGGGGCGGCCGAUGUCAGAUUAGCUAGUUGGUGGGGUAAAGGCCUAACAAGGCGACGAGCUUUAACUGGUCUGAGAGGACGACCAGCCACACUGGGAGUGAGAAACGGCCCAGACUCUGACGGGAGGCAGCAGUGGGGAAUCUUGGACAAGGGGGGAAAGCCUGAUACAGCAAUGUCGCGUGAGUGAUGAAGGCCUUAGGGUUGGAAAGUAAUGUUGGCGGGAACGAAAAGGAGCGUGCCAAUACCACGGUUUGAUGACGGUACCCGCAGAAUAAGCACCGGCUAACUACGUG
Molecule: ribosomal RNA, 484 nt
Filed under: uncultured bacterium
Lineage: Bacteria
Description: partial 16S ribosomal RNA
Rfam family: Bacterial small subunit ribosomal RNA
Source: RNAcentral